AUCGGAAUCUGGAAAAGGGAGUUGUGUUGAUUGCCAAAGACUCCUGAUUCUCUGGCUCCAUGAUGUCAUAUUUUCUUUGGCCAUGACUAGCCAAACUAAGUUCCAUGUCAUGAGCUCGAGUAGCAAGUUCUUCAAAGGAUAAAGCCUCGCACCUUUGAAGAAUGUACAACAAAUCCCAAUGCAUGCCUUGAAUACACAUCUCUACCGCUGACAAUUCUGAGAGUUUAUCUUUGCAGUCGAGACUUAGUGUACGCCAACGAUUGAUGAACUUUACAACAGGCUCGCCGUUUUGUUGUUUGGUGUUGGUGAGCUCUAACAUACUCACCAUGUGACGUGUGCUGAAGAAUCGGUUCAAAAACUCAUUUUCCAUUUGCUCCCAGUUGUCAAUGGAUUCAAGCUCCAAGUCUGUAAACCAUUCAAAUGCCGUACCUCGGAGUGAGCGAACAAAUUGCUUCACAAGAUGAUCACUAUCGGUGCCAACGCUGUUGUAUGUUUCGAUGAAAUGUGCGAUGUGUUGCUUGGGGUUACUUUUGCCAUCAAAUUGUUGAAACUUAGGAGGUUGGUAACCAAUUGGCAUUCUCAAAUUGUCUAGCCGCUUGGUGUAAGGCUUGGAAUACGUUAGUGUAUCUCGAGACGUACCACCAUAUUGAGCUUUGAUUGUCUUGGCAAUCAUGUCUUAAAGUUGUUAAACUGACAAUGAAGGUAGGAUGGAAUUUGAUUCUCCUUUUUGCUCGGAAGAUGAUCCACCAGAUGUGUCUUUCUUAUCGCCAUGAAGGUUAUUCUUCGAGUCAUUUUCAUGGUGAACUUUUAGCUUCUCCAUGAGCAAUGCAAUUUCUACAUCCUUCUCUUCAAUGGUCUUUUGGAGCUUCUUCACCGCUUCAGUCAACUGGGCUAUUUGGGCCGCUUGUUCUUCCACGUUGAUCACUCCUAUCACCAUGACUUGCAUGGCUCAAGAGUUGUCUUCUAGAAUCGCUUCAAUUUGAUUGUCAAGAGGCAAUUCCAAGUGUGGACAUAUCUUCAAAUCAACUUUGGUUGUGGGCGAAGGAGAAUGUUUCCUCGAGUUGCCUGUCGAUGUUGAACGUCUUUGCUUCAUGAGGUUUGCCCCCAUUGUUGUCCAAGCGUCGAUCGGUUGAAACUAUUUUGAGGAAUGAAGGUUGAAUGUUGUGAGUUGAAAUGACUUACUGUGAGCAACAUGACCGCUAAGGUUUCUACUGCUUUUCAGAGUAACUACCUUGUUGGUCUUGUUUUUCGAUUUGAUUUGCACCAUCUUUGAAGCCAUGUGAUGAGGAUGGCGAGAUUGUCGGAAGAGGAGAUGAUUGAGAGGCAGAGAUGGUCCACUGGGCGUGCCAAUUUUGUAAACACGAAAAUUCUUGUAACGAAUAACAUGUAGAAAGACACGUGUACAAAAUAAUAUAUUUGUAUUGAUUGA
RNA transcript from Fragaria vesca subsp. vesca, 1429 nucleotides. RefSeq lists it as uncharacterized. The transcript is spliced from 2 exons. The record is from RefSeq and is a predicted model, not a curated record. NCBI's taxonomy places the organism in Eukaryota, Viridiplantae, Streptophyta, Magnoliopsida, Rosales, Rosaceae.